AGGGUGAAGCCAGGGGAAACUCUGGUGGAGGCUCGUAGCGAUACUGACGUGCAAAUCGUUCGUCUGACUUGGGUAUAGGGGCGAAAGACUAAUCGAACCAUCUAGUAGCUGGUUCUCCCCGAAGUUUCCCUCAGGAUAGCAAACAAUGUGUGAUAGUUUUACCCGGUAAAGCGAAUGAUUAGAGGUUUAUGGAACUCUUUUGUUCUGUGCCUAUUCUCAAACUUUUAAUAGGUAAGAUAUUCUAUGUUACUUUAUGGAACUAGAAUGUGGAAUAUAUAUUGUUUAGUGGGCCAUUUUUGGUAAGCAGAACUGGCGAUGCGGGAUGAACCGGUCGUGGAGAUUAAGGUGCCAAAGAAGUCACUCAUCUAGAUACUGCAAAAGGUGUUAUUUCAUAUGGACAGCAGGACGGUGGUCAUGGAAGUCGAAAUCCGCUAAGGAGUGUGUAACAACUCACCUGCCGAAUGGAAUAGCCCUGAAAAUGGAUGGCGCUAAAGUGAUUCACCUAAAUCUCACCAUAAUAUCAAAUCGUACAUUAUGGAAUGUAUACUAAUAGGAUAUUAUGUGUAGGGGAGCGUGGUGUUCUUUGUCAAUAUUCUAUCGUGAGAUAGAUAGGAAAGGAUACUAGUGCAGAUCUUGGUGGUAGUAGCAAUGAUUCAAAUGUGAUCUUUGAAGACUGACGUGGAGAAAGGUUCCAUGGGAAACGUCUUGUUCCAUGGGUUAGUCGAUCCUAAGUUGGUACCGAAAGGUUGUACAUGAUAGGUGUGUUAGCUUUGUUAUUGUGCGCAGUAGCGAAUGAAUCAUACCAUCUCCAACGAAAGGGAAAUAGGUUCAUAUUCCUAUACCCAUACGAUGCAAAUAGAUAAACAUUGGUAACAAAAGGAACAUCCGAGACAUUCGUUUGUAAUCUCUGAAGAAAUUUCUCUUCUUUUUAACAGUUUAUGUGGUAGGCAUACUACAUUCUUUCUAUGUGUAACAACAUAGAAAUGGUAACACCAUGGAAGCGUAUUGUACGGAGAUAUGGUUGUACAACUGGGAAAGGUGAUACUUUAUGUAUUUUUACUAUGUAAAAUAAGUAAAAUCACUAGAGAACUUACAAAAGGAUCCUUGAAAAUCGGAUAGACUGCUUAUGCGUUGUCAUCGUGGUUCGUACUCAUAACCGCAUCAGGUCUCCAAGGUGAAUAGCCUCUAGUCUAUAGAAUAAUGUAGGUAAGGGAAGUCGGCAAAAUAGAUCCGUAACUUUGGGAAAAGGAUUGGCUCAAUGGGAUGCUCUAAUCUCGUAUUAGAACAACAUCCACCAUUGAACUGAAACGGACAAGAGGAAUCCGACUGUUUAAUUAAAACAAAGCAUUGCGAUGGUUCGCAACGAAUGUUUACGCAAUGUGAUUUCUGCCCAGUGCUUUGAAUAUCAAUGUGGAGAAAUUCAAGUAAGUAGUGGUCAACGGCGGGAGUAACUAUGACUCUCUUAAGGUAGCCAAAUGCCUCGUCGUCUAAUUAGCGACGCGCAUGAAUGGAUUAAUGAGAUUCCUACUGUCCCUAUCUACGAUCUAGCGAAACCACAGCCAAGGGAACGGGCUUGGAAAUUUCAGCGGGGAAAGAAGACCCUCUUGAGCUUGACUCUAGUCUGACUUGGUGAAUUGACUCGAUUGGUGUAGCAUAUGUGGGAGUACGCAAGUACAAUAGUGAAAUACCACAACUUUCGACGUUAAUUUGCUCAUCUAUUUAGUAUCUCACAUCUUAUUGAAGUAUUUUAGAGACUCAUAGAAACAAAGUCAGGUGGGGAGUUUGACUGGGGCGGUACAUCUGUUAAACGAUAACACAGGUGUCCUAAGAUGAGCUCAACGAGAGCAGAAAUCUCGUGUAGAACAAAAGGGUAAAAGCUCAUUUAAUUGUUGAUUUUCAGUACGAAUACAAAUAAUGAAAGUUUGGCCUAUCGAUCCUUUAGUUGCAUAAUCUUAUAAAGCAUGUUUAUCUAGAGGUGUCAGAAAAGUUACCAAAGGGAUAACUGGCUUGUGGCAGCCAAGAGUUCAUAUCGACGUUGCUUUUUGAUUCUUCGAUGUCGGCUCUUCCUAUCCUUUCCUCGCAGCAGGGGAAAAGGGUCAGAUUGUUCAUUUACUAACAGGGAACGUGAGCUGGGUUUAGACCGUUGUGAGACAGGUUAGUUUUACCCUACUGAAUAACCUAUUUGAAUGGUAAUGCAAGGUAGUACGAGAGGAACUCUUGCUUCGCGGACUUGGUGAAUCAUUUCUAUGAGAUUGGAAGAUGAGAAGCUACCCCGCGUCGGAUAAGAGCUGAACGCCUCUAAGCUUGAAUCCGUGUCAUACAAAUGGAUGUUUGAAGAGUUUAUAAAAAUGGAACGAAUAUUCCCUAGAGGAAUCAGUCCUUUGUAUGAUGAUUGUAUAUAGAGUGAACUUUGUAUCAGUUGUUGUAUGAGAAGAAGCUUUUCUUUUGUUGAUCUCUAGCAGACGACUAGGUUUGGACGCAGUACUGUACGUAUGAGAGUGAGUUUGUCUCACGAUCUACUUAGGUUUAUCUGUGCUCUAUGAUCAUUUUG
This 2551-nucleotide ribosomal RNA is filed under the name bioreactor sludge metagenome. Its description in RNAcentral is "eukaryotic LSU rRNA". It matches the Rfam family "Eukaryotic large subunit ribosomal RNA", at positions 843 to 3401 of the family's 3401-position model. The record is from RNAcentral.